UACGUAGGGGGCAAGCGUUGUCCGGAUUUAUUGGGCGUAAAGAGCUCGUAGGCGGUUCAGCCAGUCGGGUGUGAAAAAUCUGGGCUCAACCCAGUGGAGCACCCGAUACUGCUGUGACUAGAGUCCGGUAGGGGAGUGUGGAAUUCCUGGUGUAGCGGUGAAAUGCGCAGAUAUCAGGAGGAACACCAACGGCGAAGGCAGCACUCUGGGCCGGUACUGACGCUGAGGAGCGAAAGCGUGGGGAGCGAACAGG
This 253-nucleotide ribosomal RNA is filed under the name uncultured bacterium. RNAcentral's name for it is "partial 16S ribosomal RNA". It matches the Rfam family "Bacterial small subunit ribosomal RNA", at positions 524 to 776 of the family's 1533-position model. The record is from RNAcentral.